Molecule: long non-coding RNA, 525 nt
Organism: Etheostoma spectabile (orangethroat darter)
Lineage: Eukaryota; Metazoa; Chordata; Actinopteri; Perciformes; Percidae
Exons: 3
Source: RefSeq, a predicted model, not a curated record
AAUAUUUAAGUUAUGUACAUUAUUUGAUACUCAAGUAAAGUACAAGUACCUGGAGUUAAGUCCAGUACUUGAGUAAUUGUCCUCAGUCCCAGUCCACCUCCAACUGAUUCAUUAAGUGAAUGUGGAGCUGUUUUUCCCCUCCUGACCUCCAGGCGGCGACCUUCUUUCAUUUUGAACUUUAUUCUGAAAAACCCUGACUUGGAGGAAACCGGAAGUCUCGCUGCUUCACUGUGAUCUCGGGCUGGCGGCGGGAUAGCUGUGUUCUUUGUUAUUAGUGAGUUUUAAGAAGACAGAGCUCCAGGUGAACCCGCACCCACUCAGAUUUAUUCCCGGUGUAAGAAGCCACAGUGGAGAGCUGCUGGACUUCAGGACCAGAGAGGAAUGGAGGAGGACAACCAGGACCAGGAGCAGCGGAGCAACGAGGUCCCCAGAAGACCAGCAGCAGAUUGGGCCUCUGAUAGCAGCCGUGUUCAGGCGUCCUCAGCAGACGGCAAGCUGGCAACCAGAGCAGGAAAGAAGGAGGAG